RNAcentral lists this unclassified non-coding RNA (336 nucleotides) under soil metagenome. RNAcentral's name for it is "partial contains 5.8S ribosomal RNA, internal transcribed spacer 2, and large subunit ribosomal RNA". The stretch from base 1 to 120 matches the Rfam family "5.8S ribosomal RNA", at positions 35 to 154 of the family's 154-position model. The record is from RNAcentral.
GAUGAAGAACGUAGCGAAAUGCGAUAAGUAAUGUGAAUUGCAGAAUUCAGUGAAUCAUCGAAUCUUUGAACGCACAUUGCGCCCGCCAGUAUUCUGGCGGGCAUGCCUGUUCGAGCGUCAUUUCAACCAUCAAGCCCCAGGCUUGUGUUGGGGACCUGCGGCUGCCGCAGGCCCUGAAAACCAGUGGCGGGCUCGCUGUCACACCGGGCGUAGUAGAUUUUAUCUCGCUCUGGGCGUGCUGCGGGUUCCGGCCGUUAAAAAACCCUUUUAACCCAAGGUUGACCUCGGAUCAGGUAGGAAUACCCGCUUAACUUAAGCAUAUCAAUAAGCGGAGGA